GACGAACGCUGGCGGCGUGCUUAACACAUGCAAGUCGAACGGUGAAGCGCCUUCCUUUUUGGUGGGUGUGGAUGAGUGGCGAACGGGUGAGUAACACGUGAGUAACCUGCCCCCUUCUUCUGGAUAACCGCAUGAAAGUGUGGCUAAUACGGGAUAUUCUGGGUCUGUCGCAUGAUGGGUCUGGGAAAGAUAUUGUUUCGGUGGGGGAUGGGCUCGCGGCCUAUCAGCUUGUUGGUGGGGUGAUGGCCUACCAAGGCGGUGACGGGUAGCCGGCCUGAGAGGGUGGACGGUCACACUGUGACUGAGACACGGCCCAGACUCCUACGGGAGGCAGCAGUGGGGAAUAUUGCACAAUGGGCGCAAGCCUGAUGCAGCGACGCCGCGUGAGGGAUGGAGGCCUUCGGGUUGUGAACCUCUUUCGCCAGUGAAGCAGGCCUGCCUCGUUUGUGGGUGGGUUGACGGUAGCUUGAUAAGAAGCGCCGGCUAACUACGUG
RNAcentral lists this ribosomal RNA (494 nucleotides) under uncultured bacterium. RNAcentral describes it as "partial 16S ribosomal RNA". It matches the Rfam family "Bacterial small subunit ribosomal RNA", at positions 28 to 507 of the family's 1533-position model. The record is from RNAcentral.